RNAcentral lists this ribosomal RNA (106 nucleotides) under Periophthalmus modestus (shuttles hoppfish). Its description in RNAcentral is "partial 16S ribosomal RNA". Lineage: Eukaryota; Metazoa; Chordata; Actinopteri; Gobiiformes; Gobiidae. The record is from RNAcentral.
ACACAACUUUCUUAACAGCUAGCCCUCCUCCAAACUUCAACAAAAACCAUUAAUACCCCCAAAUGCACAAGCACAACAAAACAAACCAUUUUACCCCCCUAGUAUG